AAAGAAAUUAAAGUCAUUAUUUGGUAAAAGUUAAAACACUAGUUUCAUUUUGCUGGACUCAUAACAGUGUCCUCUCAGUAACUAAAAAAGAAAACAGGAACAAUACAGUGAUAGGUAGACCAACAAUGAAUUGUAAUUAAUGUAUAUUUCAUAGUAAUACUCCUGGAAGGCCUCUUUAUUUAUAGGUGUCCUAACAAUUGUGAAAUGGAGUGAAUGUCUCUAUCUCCCUUUUACAGAUGGGGAAACUGAAAUGGAGAAAAGUGACUGCUUAACCUCAGCUAAAAGGACAGUAGCAGAACAAGAAGCAGCUGAAAUUUGUGAUCCCAGGUGAAUGAAGACAACGAGCCCAGCUGCUCCAAACAGCAAGAUGAAGGAGAACAUACAUGUCAGCCUCAUAAUUAUUGUUCUCAGAUCAAUCCAGUUCUGACCCAGGAAAAGUACUGCACGCAAUCUCCAGGGCACUCUUCACUCAUAGUCUCGUCCCCUCAUCUGGAAGUCUGGCGCAAUACGUCUACAAGAGCUGUACAGGGACCAGGAUGGCAGAGAGCUGGGGACUGCUAACCAACAGCAGCCUGCCUGGAAAGUGGCUGUUAAAUUCACCUUUUCCAGAAAGUGGAAUUGAGGAGCGCAUAGCAGGCAGCAGGCAGGUGAGACUUCAUUUUGAUUCUCCCAGGGAAAAAUAUGUUUUUCCAAACUAUCUUUUUCCAUGUAGAAA
Molecule: non-coding RNA, 715 nt
Organism: Phalacrocorax carbo (great cormorant)
Lineage: Eukaryota; Metazoa; Chordata; Aves; Suliformes; Phalacrocoracidae
Source: RefSeq, a predicted model, not a curated record